GACGAACGCUGGCGGCGUGCUUAACACAUGCAAGUCGAACGGGCCCGCUCUCUUUUUUGGGGGUGGGUUGAGUGGCGAACGGGUGAGUAUCACGUGAGUAACCUGCCCCCUGCUCCUGGAUAACUGCUUGAAAGGGCGGCUAAUACGGGGUGUGCCGGCUGGUCCGCAUGGGCCUGGUCGGGAUAGUUUCAUCUUCGGGUGUUUCGGUGGGGGAUGGGCUCGCGGCCUAUCAGCUUGUUGGUGGGGUGAUGGCCCACCAAGGCGGUGACGGGUAGCCGGCCGGGGGGGUGGGGGGGCCACAGGGGGACUUGGACACGGCCCAGACUCCUGGGGGAGGCGGCGGUGGGGGGUAGUGCACAAUGGGGGGAAGCCUGAUGCAGCGACGCCGGGGGAGGGGUGGGGGCCUUCGGGUUGUGACCCUUUUUCCCCGGGGGUGAAGGCCCUGUCCGUUGGGGGGGGGUUGACGGUAGCCGGGUAUGAAGCGCCGGCUAACUACGU
Molecule: ribosomal RNA, 498 nt
Filed under: uncultured bacterium
Lineage: Bacteria
Description: partial 16S ribosomal RNA
Rfam family: Bacterial small subunit ribosomal RNA
Source: RNAcentral